This is a small nucleolar RNA of Neogale vison (American mink), 213 nucleotides long. Its record names the gene U3. It matches the Rfam family "Small nucleolar RNA U3". Rfam says of the family: Small nucleolar RNAs (snoRNAs) are involved in the processing and modification of rRNA in the nucleolus. There are two main classes of snoRNAs: the box C/D class, and the box H/ACA class. The record is from Ensembl. NCBI's taxonomy places the organism in Eukaryota, Metazoa, Chordata, Mammalia, Carnivora, Mustelidae.
AAGAGUAUACUUUCAGGGAUCAUUUCUAUAGCUUGUUACUAGAGAAGUUGCUCUGAACGUGUGCAGUACCCAAAACCAUGAGGAGGAGGCCCAGGGUUCUCUUGUGAACAUGAAACUGGCUUUAGCCAUUGUUUCCACAACUGCCAACUGCCAUCAGUGACUGUUCUCCACCUACUUUGGAGGAGUAAGAGAGAGAGACAUGGUCUGAGUGCU